AUUGAACGCUGGCGGCAGGCCUAACACAUGCAAGUCGAGCGGAUGAAGGGGGCUUGCUCCUGGAUUCAGCGGCGGACGGGUGAGUAAUGCCUAGGAAUCUGCCUGGUAGUGGGGGAUAACGUCCGGAAACGGGCGCUAAUACCGCAUACGUCCUGAGGGAGAAAGUGGGGGAUCUUCGGACCUCACGCUAUCAGAUGAGCCUAGGUCGGAUUAGCUAGUUGGUGGGGUAAAGGCCUACCAAGGCGACGAUCCGUAACUGGUCUGAGAGGAUGAUCAGUCACACUGGAACUGAGACACGGUCCAGACUCCUACGGGAGGCAGCAGUGGGGAAUAUUGGACAAUGGGCGAAAGCCUGAUCCAGCCAUGCCGCGUGUGUGAAGAAGGUCUUCGGAUUGUAAAGCACUUUGAGUUGGGAGGAAGGGCAGUAAGUUAAUACCUUGCUGUUUUGACGUUACCAACAGAAUAAGCACCGGCUAACUUCGUG
RNAcentral lists this ribosomal RNA (484 nucleotides) under uncultured bacterium. Its description in RNAcentral is "partial 16S ribosomal RNA". It matches the Rfam family "Bacterial small subunit ribosomal RNA", at positions 30 to 507 of the family's 1533-position model. The record is from RNAcentral.